This 253-nucleotide ribosomal RNA is filed under the name uncultured bacterium. RNAcentral describes it as "partial 16S ribosomal RNA". It matches the Rfam family "Bacterial small subunit ribosomal RNA", at positions 524 to 776 of the family's 1533-position model. The record is from RNAcentral.
UACAGAGGGGGCUAGCGUUGUUCGGAAUUACUGGGCGUAAAGGGCGCGUAGGUGGCCUGUUAAGUCGAACGUGAAAUCCCCGGGCUCAACCCGGGAACUGCGUCCGAGACUGGCAGGCUCGAAUCCGGGAGAGGGAUGUGGAAUUCCAGGUGUAGCGGUGAAAUGCGUAGAUAUCUGGAGGAACACCGGUGGCGAAGGCGGCAUCCUGGACCGGUAUUGACGCUGAGGCGCGAAAGCUAGGGGAGCAAGCGGG